GUACACACCGCGUCGCUCCUACCGAUUGAAUAAAGGCAUGAGGAGUACGGAGGUCUUUGAUAUGGUCCUGUUUCGGCAGGUUCCCAAUCAGAGCCAAUGUAUUUCAAAUGUUUCUAUUUAGAGGAAGGAGAAGUCGUAACAAGGUCUUCGUAGGUGAACCUGCAGAAGGAUCA
RNAcentral lists this ribosomal RNA (173 nucleotides) under uncultured eukaryote. RNAcentral's name for it is "partial small subunit ribosomal RNA". It matches the Rfam family "Eukaryotic small subunit ribosomal RNA", at positions 1662 to 1828 of the family's 1831-position model. The record is from RNAcentral.